RNAcentral lists this ribosomal RNA (276 nucleotides) under Triticum aestivum (bread wheat). RNAcentral describes it as "partial small subunit ribosomal RNA". Lineage: Eukaryota; Viridiplantae; Streptophyta; Magnoliopsida; Poales; Poaceae. The record is from RNAcentral.
AAAGGUCCCAAACAAACUUGCAAAGGAAUAACUGACGCAAUGUCGCAUUGCUGGUGGGGUGACAGUGAUGACCAAAAAAAGAUGCAUUAGAUGGCUUGGUGGAAGUUGUGUUUGCCGAAACAACGAGAGGGUAUGGUUUUCCGUGACAUCCAUUGCUUUAACCUUGCUUUGUUGGCUAAGCAAGCCUCGAGGUUAGUAGACAAUUCAGACUCACUAUGCGCAACAAUUCUAAAAGCAAUUUUUUUCUGGACAAUGAUUUACUCAAUGCAAACCUAA